UACGUAGGGUGCAAGCGUUAAUCGGAAUUACUGGGCGUAAAGCGUGCGCAGGCGGUUCGCUAAGACAGAGGUGAAAUCCCCGGGCUCAACCUGGGAAUGGCAUUUGGGACUGCAAGGCUGGAGUGCGGCAGAGGAGACUGGAAUUCCUGGUGUAGCAGUGAAAUGCGUAGAUAUCAGGAGGAAUACCGAUGGCGAAGGCAGGUCUCUGGGCUGACACUGACGCUCAUGCACGAAAGCGUGGGGAGCAAACAGG
RNAcentral lists this ribosomal RNA (253 nucleotides) under uncultured bacterium. RNAcentral's name for it is "partial 16S ribosomal RNA". It matches the Rfam family "Bacterial small subunit ribosomal RNA", at positions 524 to 776 of the family's 1533-position model. The record is from RNAcentral.